Molecule: ribosomal RNA, 188 nt
Filed under: uncultured Pontibacter sp.
Lineage: Bacteria; Pseudomonadati; Bacteroidota; Cytophagia; Cytophagales; Hymenobacteraceae
Description: partial 16S ribosomal RNA
Rfam family: Bacterial small subunit ribosomal RNA
Source: RNAcentral
CCUACGGGAGGCAGCAGUAGGGAAUAUUGGGCAAUGGCCGAGAGGCUGACCCAGCCAUGCCGCGUGCAGGAAGAAGGCCUUCUGGGUUGUAAACUGCUUUUAUCUGGGAAGAAAACGCUCCUGCGGGGGUAACUGACGGUACCAGAUGAAUAAGCACCGGCUAACUCCGUGCCAGCAGCCGCGGUAAU